Small nuclear RNA from Cavia porcellus (domestic guinea pig), 165 nucleotides. Its record names the gene U1. It matches the Rfam family "U1 spliceosomal RNA". From Rfam's summary of the family: U1 is a small nuclear RNA (snRNA) component of the spliceosome (involved in pre-mRNA splicing). Its 5' end forms complementary base pairs with the 5' splice junction, thus defining the 5' donor site of an intron. The record is from Ensembl. Lineage: Eukaryota; Metazoa; Chordata; Mammalia; Rodentia; Caviidae.
AUACUUGCCUUGCAGGAGAGUUACUAUGAUUAUGAAAGUCGUUUUCCUAGGUUGAGGCUCAUCCAAUGCACUUCAGAUGUGCUGACCCCUGUGAUUUCCCCAAAUGCAGGAAACUUGACUGCAUAAUUUGUGGUGUGGGGGGGACUGCAUUGCCACUCUCCCCUA